UCCACACCGUAAACGCUGUCUACUAGCUGUUUGUGGAUUUAAUCCGUGAGUAGCGCAGCUAACGCGAUAAGUAGACCGCCUGGGGAGUACGGCCGCAAGGUUAAAACUCAAAUGAAUUGACGGGGGCCCGCACAAGCGGUGGAGCAUGUGGUUUAAUUCGAUGCAACGCGAAGAACCUUACCUACUCUUGACAUACAGUGAACUUUUCAGAGAUGAAUUGGUGCCUUCGGGAACACUGAUACAGGUGCUGCAUGGCUGUCGUCAGCUCGUGUCGUGAGAUGGUUGGGUUAAGUCCCGCAACGAGCGCAACCCUUGUCCUUAGUUGCCAGCCUUAAGUUGGGCACUCUAAGGAGACUGCCGGUG
RNAcentral lists this ribosomal RNA (363 nucleotides) under uncultured Gammaproteobacteria bacterium. RNAcentral's name for it is "bacterial SSU rRNA". It matches the Rfam family "Bacterial small subunit ribosomal RNA", at positions 794 to 1157 of the family's 1533-position model. The record is from RNAcentral. Lineage: Bacteria; Pseudomonadati; Pseudomonadota; Gammaproteobacteria.